UUCUUAUCCAGAGUGGUGGAGGGACUGGCCCAAAGAAACCCGGCAACCCAAGAGCUAAAUAGCUUUUAUGGUGCUAAAUCCAGCAGGUGAACAAACCUGAUAGAUAAGAG
RNAcentral lists this non-coding RNA (110 nucleotides) under Clostridium tetanomorphum. RNAcentral's name for it is "SAM-I sequence". It matches the Rfam family "SAM riboswitch aptamer (S box leader)". From Rfam's summary of the family: The SAM riboswitch is found upstream of a number of genes which code for proteins involved in methionine or cysteine biosynthesis in Gram-positive bacteria. The SAM riboswitch acts at the level of transcription termination control. The predicted structure consists of a complex stem-loop region followed by a single stem loop terminator region. The record is from Rfam by way of RNAcentral. Lineage: Bacteria; Bacillati; Bacillota; Clostridia; Eubacteriales; Clostridiaceae.